GUGGAUCAGUGGCGAACGGGUGAGUAACACGUGAGCAACCUGCCCCUGACUCUGGAAUAAGCGCUGGAAACGGCGUCUAAUACUGGAUACGAGAAGGGUCCGCAUGGGCACUUUCUGGAAAGUUUUUCGGUUGGGGAUGGGCUCGCGGCCUAUCAGCUUGUUGGUGAGGUAAUGGCUCACCAAGGCGACGACGGGUAGCCGGCCUGAGAGGGCGACCGGCCACACUGGGACUGAGACACGGCCCAGACUCCUACGGGAGGCAGCAGUGGGGAAUAUUGCACAAUGGGCGAAAGCCUGAUGCAGCGACGCCGCGUGAGGGAUGACGGCCUUCGGGUUGUAAACCUCUUUCAGCAGGGAAGAAGCGAAAGUGACGGUACCUGCAGAAGAAGCACCGGCUAACUACGUGCCAGCAGCCGCGGUAAUACGUAGGGUGCGAGCGUUGUCCGGAAUUAUUGGGCGUAAAGAGCUUGUAGGCGGUUUGUCGCGUCUGCUGUGAAAAUCCGGGGCUCAACCCCGGACUUGCAGUGGGUACGGGCAGACUAGAGUGUGGUAGGGGAGACUGGAAUUCCUGGUGUAGCGGUGAAAUGCGCAGAUAUCAGGAGGAACACCGAUGGCGAAGGCAGGUCUCUGGGCCACUACUGACGCUGAGAAGCGAAAGCAUGGGGAGCGAACAGGAUUAGAUACCCUGGUAGUCCAUGCCGUAAACGUUGGGCGCUAGGUGUGGGACUCAUUCCACGAGUUCCGUGCCGCAGCUAACGCAUUAAGCGCCCCGCCUGGG
This 778-nucleotide ribosomal RNA is filed under the name Janibacter sp. T2-2_4-13. RNAcentral's name for it is "bacterial SSU rRNA". It matches the Rfam family "Bacterial small subunit ribosomal RNA", at positions 87 to 877 of the family's 1533-position model. Lineage: Bacteria; Bacillati; Actinomycetota; Actinomycetes; Micrococcales; Intrasporangiaceae. The record is from RNAcentral.